Molecule: non-coding RNA, 319 nt
Organism: Onthophagus taurus
Lineage: Eukaryota; Metazoa; Arthropoda; Insecta; Coleoptera; Scarabaeidae
Source: RefSeq, a predicted model, not a curated record
AUCUAUUGAUACAUAGAAGUAUUUGUUUUUGUGUCAAAAAUCGCAUUUAGAAUUUGAAUGAAGAAUUCUUUGAGAUGGAGGAAGAUAUUCAACUGAAAAAAGCUUUUAAGGAAUUGGAAGAUUUAAAUGAGAAGUAUCGCAAAUCUGAUCGAAAUUUAAAAAAAGUAAAGGAAAUUAUUGAUUCCUACAAAAGAGAUCGUGAAGAUUUCGAGAAUAAAACAAAGCUAACUUUCGAAGAAAUUGAGUUACUCCAAAAACGAUUAACUGUAUGAAUACUAAUAUAAUUAAUAAAUAAAUCUUUUGGGUUUUCUCAAAUUUA